RNAcentral lists this ribosomal RNA (547 nucleotides) under Alternaria alternata. RNAcentral describes it as "eukaryotic LSU rRNA". The stretch from base 183 to 336 matches the Rfam family "5.8S ribosomal RNA". The record is from RNAcentral. Lineage: Eukaryota; Fungi; Ascomycota; Dothideomycetes; Pleosporales; Pleosporaceae.
CUGCGGAGGGAUCAUUACACAAAUAUGAAGGCGGGCUGGAACCUCUCGGGGUUACAGCCUUGCUGAAUUAUUCACCCUUGUCUUUUGCGUACUUCUUGUUUCCUUGGUGGGUUCGCCCACCACUAGGACAAACAUAAACCUUUUGUAAUUGCAAUCAGCGUCAGUAACAAAUUAAUAAUUACAACUUUCAACAACGGAUCUCUUGGUUCUGGCAUCGAUGAAGAACGCAGCGAAAUGCGAUAAGUAGUGUGAAUUGCAGAAUUCAGUGAAUCAUCGAAUCUUUGAACGCACAUUGCGCCCUUUGGUAUUCCAAAGGGCAUGCCUGUUCGAGCGUCAUUUGUACCCUCAAGCUUUGCUUGGUGUUGGGCGUCUUGUCUCUAGCUUUGCUGGAGACUCGCCUUAAAGUAAUUGGCAGCCGGCCUACUGGUUUCGGAGCGCAGCACAAGUCGCACUCUCUAUCAGCAAAGGUCUAGCAUCCAUUAAGCCUUUUUUUCAACUUUUGACCUCGGAUCAGGUAGGGAUACCCGCUGAACUUAAGCAUAUCAAA